GAUGCGUCACAGAACAAGGCACAAGAGACUAUUUUGGUUAGGCAGGGACUAGGCUCAUAGAAGUGACACCCCAGCAGGGAGCAAGGGUUGUGUUGGGACAGCCCUGUGGGUUCCUAGGGGUGAAUCAGUCCAGGAAGAGGAAGCCCGAGCACAGAGCAUGAAUGGAAACUCCAGGAAGGCUCAUCACUUUGAAGGACCACUUGAAAGAACCAGAAUAGUCUCUCUGUGCCAAGACGCAAGACGCUCAUUCACAUCUGUACGGUGCUUCAGUUAUAUAAGGCUCCCAGUGCCUACAGAAAGCUAUUUUGGGUGAAGAUACAGUGUCCUGACACCUCUCUUUCUGAAAACUCCACACAGCUACUGAAAUGAACAUUUCCAUCUCCAUGGGCUCACAGACCACUGAGUAACAGAAAACACUGUUGUAUUUCUGCCGACCAGCAUUUGGAAGCAGCCAGUCCUUCAAUCCCAGCCUACUCCAGUCCUCCUUGAGGAAAGAGUCACGGAUCACUCACUCGUCCCUGCCGUCCUCUGACUACCGUAAGGUCUCGCCCAGGGAGAAAAACCUCAACUGGAAUCACAGUGUUGCCAUUUCUGUUGGAUCCGAGGUGGUUUUGCAUCGAUUGGCAGUCCAGCAGUUUGUGCCCGGUGCCCAGAUCUGGAGACAACAAAAACAAUAACUUUUUUUUCCCAAAUAUCUUUUUGUGUAUGGGUAUUUUGCCUGAAUGCUUGUACGUGUACCACGUGCAUGUCUGGUGCCCGCAGAGGCUAGAAGAGGGGACAUCGGAUCUGGACCUCGAGCUACAGAUGGUUGUGAGUUGAUAUUUGGGACUCAGUACUCCAUCCUCUGUAAGUGCGCCUAACCACUGAGCUACCUUUCCAGUCCCUAGAAUGGUUCUUCUUGUUGUUGUUGUUUAAAUAAUAGGUCCAAAAUGUUGUCUUGGUGCCUCCACCUACAUCCAGCUGUAAACUGAUAACAAGGCUCCGGCCAUUUCAGAUCAGAACCCACAUGCUAAUGCUUUAAUCAUGCAUUUACCUCAACCUGAGAAAGCCAACACUCCCUGUGUUCUCUUCUGUGCGUUAGACAGGGUGAGAAAGAUGUGAUGGUUCAGGAAAGAGGUGGCAGGAGCACACCCAGUGCAGAACAACACGAGACAGGAGGAAUAAGCAUGAUGUAGCAGGAGCUCAAAGGAACCGAACGGCACAUAUGGAAAGGCAGACCGUAGGAGGUGGAAUGGGACUGCUGAGAGCAGAACGUUAGAAGAUUGGUUAAGACACAGAAGGCUUGGGCUAGGCUAGAGAAAAGAAGAACCGCUAAACUUUACCCAAUGCGGGGGGCACAGAGAGUAGAAAGGGUGGACUAGAAAGAUGGACCGGAGCCAGGCAGAAUGGACUUCAAUUAUACCCUGCCAGCUAAGGGAGCCAGGAGCUUUUAGCCCGGGAAUACUUUAAUGUAUAAUCAUACGUACUUUUAAUGGAGCAUUACCAUCCAGGAAUAGACAGGCAUAGACUAGCAGAAGAGGCGUGGAGGAGACAUAGUAUUGGAAGGGUGGAAAGCUCAGAAAAGCUAGACAAGAUUAGGGAAACCACCGCCCCCCUCCCACCCUCCCCCCAAACCCCUGUCUCUAUAGGCACAUGCCGGAGUGUGCAUACGGAGGCAUCUUUAUUGACGGGCCAUCUCGAUGGGCUCUCGGGUGAGACUUUAAGAGGAACUGGCGGUUUACCUGAGGUUGUAGGUGGUAGGGUUAAGGGAGAGCAUCAGGCAGUUGCUCUGUAGCACGAGGACAGGGAGCCAUUUUCCUUGGGUCAGCAUUGUUGACUGGGGAAAUUCAGGAGUUUUGUACACACUGUUAAAUAGGAGAAUGUGAACCCAAGACCUGUUUUUUUCUCAGACUCCCUUUGGACACCUUGCUUUGACUGCUGAAUUCCAAAAUUAGGCCUGAGCUGUCUAGUUCUGCGCUCAAGUGUUCUGUGAGGCAGCAUUGGAAUCGCUGCUUGCUCUGAGCCUUGCCAUCUACUGUCCAAAACUGAACAAAAGGGGAUGGUAAUUUUGAAUGUUUUUUUUUUUUCUAAAUAGCCUUUUUUUGACAACAGUAGACGUUUUAAUUUGUAUUGUAACUAAAAUUAGAACGCAGAGACUUGGUAAUAAGAUGUGUGAACAAAGACCUCCAAAGUUUGAGGCUCUAACAUAGCACACACCAAAGCCUGUGACUGAGAGUUAGUCCCUGGCCAUCAUACCAUCUGCCUGGAGACUAAUUAAAGGUUUAAAAAUAGAUGAUCUCUGCAAGGCAAAUAAAAUGAAAAUAAUGGGAGGUGUUGAUCUAAAUCUCCUAAGCCCACGCCACAGAAAACAGCGCCAUGUUUUGGGCACUCUAUUAAGAUGAGAGAGUAAGACAAUGCCUCAAUGAGAGAGAGAUUCAGAAAGUAGCACCUGCAAAGGGUGGGAGGGCCAGGUUACUGAGAGACACUUCCAUAGGUCUCCUUUCAAAUGGUUACUGCUGGUGAUCAAUAUUUAAACACUAUCUUAUAACCACACACAAGAAAUGAACCUCUUCCCAAGGCUAUUCUAAAGUAUAAUUAUAAAUAUACAACACCCUCUCCCCCACAGUCUACGCCGUUCCCAUCUUUGCUUUGUAACUGGAUUUCUUGACAAGUUGCCUGCACAUGCGAUCUUCAUGUCCACAUCCUAUGUGCUUCCUCUGUCCUGCAGUUUGGCUUUUUAACUCUUUUAAUGCCAACAAAGUCCUUCUCAGCAAGGUUACAGAUGGCCCGUGUCACCCUAAGUGUGCCAAGAUCUUGUGGAAGAGCUCUUGUUAUGACGAUUAAGUUGUUUCACCUAAUAUUUAGGAGUGCCUCUGCAUGUCUGAGCAAUGUGCCCAAUUUUCAUCUUUCAUUGGCCCAAGCACAUCUUCUGGCUAAAAGUCCAACAACAGAUUUUUUUUUUUUAUCAUUUUCAGUAAUUGCAAAGUCAACAUGUUUUUACUCCUUCACUUUUACAUGACAAAUCCAGAAGGCAAAUAAAAAGAAUGAGGAAAGGUGUCCUUUAUUUUUAAGUUAGCAAAGCCAUGUAUAUUUAUGAUCCAUGUGCACACGCACAUCAAGGACACUGAUAAAAUCUCUUGGUAAUUUCGAGCACACAAAAUAUUAAGGUUAGUCAUGUUGUGCACUAGAUUUCCUGGACAUAUUCCUCCAUCUAAUUAAAAUCUGUAUGCAAGCCUGGCAUGGUGGGAUGCACCUGUCGUGCCAGCUACUCAGGAAGCUGAAGCUGUUCCAGGAAACCCUGGGACUCAUAGGCAGAACCUGUUUUUAAAAGAGGGUGAGGUGGGAGGGGGCAAGGUGCUUUAGCAGGUAAAGGUGACCAAGCUUGAUGGCCGAACUUCAAUCCCCAAGGACCCACACAAUGUACAGAGAGAGUCAAUGACCACUGGUUGUCUUCUGACCUCCACACAUGUGCUGGGGUGAACAAAAUUUUAAAGGGGGGUAAGAAGCAAGGUUGCCUUGUGUCCUCUGAUACUUUCUAAGUUUCCACCCCAGUUCUUUGUAAGUACCAUUCUAACUGUUCUCUGCUCCUCUUGACACUUUUACAGACAUGGACCAUUUGCUGGUGCUUGGCUAAUUUCACUUAGCACACUUCAGGUUUGCUCAUGGCCUUGCCCCCACCAGGCCCAGCACUGGAGACAGAACUCAUCCCUGUUCCUUACUUUGCCACUGAACCACACUCCUGGCUCCAGAUUUCCUUUUCUAAUAGGCUGGAUAGUGUUCCACUUUAUAUACGUACCACCUUUUCUUCAUCCAUUCUUCUGUUCACAGACACAUAGGUUCAUUCUGUAUCGUGACUAUUGUGAAAGAUGAACACCAGAGGGCAGGUUUUUCUUUUAAGUUUUAAAUUUACAUUUAUUCAUUUUUGUCUAUGUACAGGCACACACCUCACUUGAACCUGUGGAGGUCAGAGGACACCGUGGGGAAUUAUUCAUCUCCUAUACACCAGGUGGAUCUUGAGCUCAAACUCAGGUUGUCAGGCCUGCCAGUGAGCUCCCUUAUCUGCUGAGCCAUCUCAGUGUCAGGGGCAUGGUUUUCUUCACCAUACGGAUUCCAUUCCCUUUGGAUAUAUAGUUAGAAGAGGCACCACUGAAUUACACGGUGUUCUGCCCUGUCAUUUUGGAGGAUGUUAUUGUUUUCCAUCAUGUCUAUGUUGAUUUGCAUCCCCAUUAACAGCAUAUUUAUGGUCCCACGUCACCACCUCCACUCGUGACAUCUUGCCUUUACAGCUUCUGCAGGAUCAUUAAUACAUGUAAUGUCAUGUUCAGGUAUUUGGGCAGAAGAGAAAGCCAAUGUUUGAGGUAAUAGUUCUCAAACUGAAGAAGAAAAGAUAAACUGGACCAGGGGAAUAUAUUUGGAAAAAAACUUAUCUGGAAAAACACCGUUACUUAAAUAUAUAAAGAAUUCUUGGAACCUAACAACAAGAAGAUCUGAUUUUUAAAGACUGGCCAAAGACAUGAAAACACACAUCUCACUAAUAAUUCCUAUGUGGAUGAUGAUAAGCAUAAAGAUGCUGCAGAAAAAAAAUUAACAAAAAUUAAUUAAAAAUUUUAAAAUUAAAAAAUUAAAAAUUAUAGGAUGUCAUCUCACUAGGUAACCACAGAAUAGUCAAAUCCAGAACACUGUCAGCACCAGUACUGCCAAGGACCUGGGUCUUCUAACUCCCACACAAAGCUGGAGGGAAGAUCCAGUCACUGCGUCCCUUGCCACUGACCCAAAGGGAUUCAGAACUUACACCUCAGCCAAUGAAAUAUUCAGCAACAAAAAAGGUCAUCUACUAGACCAUGACUAUCAGAGGCACCUCCAUGCACACUGCUAAUAGACGAACAUCCUUAGCACUGAGCAUUGGACCAGCCCCUAGCAUUGUUUGGAAAAGAGCUCUUUCUAGCUCUUGUGGUCAAAAUGUAUCAGUGGAAAAAAAAUGUGAUUUAAAUAGACUUUAGGUCUACAGCAAGCUUGAAUAGAAAAAACAGAAUUCCCAUAUUCUCUGUACCCACCCUCCAAAAAUAUAACAACUACCUCUGCCCCUACCAACAUUGUACACCAAAGACUAUAGUUUAUAUUCAGGCUCACUCGUGCUGUUCAGACACAAACCAACAUGGAUCUGCCCCUGUGGAAUCGCACAGCAGGGUCCCAAGGUCCUUGAAAUCCUGAGCAUCACUAACUCAUCCUCCCUGAGCCUCUGUGACCGUUCACCUUCACCUGCUUGCACAGUUUUGCUUUUCCUAGAAUGCCCUAUUUGGGACCAUAUAGUAUUUAGGAUUUUCCUCGAGUACCCAGGUAAAAGCUGGGCAGCUAUCAUUCCAGUACUGUGGGGUGGGGAGACAAGUGGAACCCUGGAGCGCACUGGCCAGCCAGUGGAGCUAAAUAAAUAAGACUCGGUGAGAAACCCGUUCUCAAAAUAUAAAACAGAACAAAACGACAACAACAACAAACACAAAAAAUGAGAGCAAUUGAGACAUCUGACACACAUUUCUGGUCUCCACAUGUAUGUGUAUAUGUGUUCAGGUGCAGCUACAAACACGUGUGACACACACAAAGUCAUACAUAUAACACACAUACACACAAUUUUAAAAUGUUAAAUGCUAAAGGCCUUCAAACGACAGGCAGAUUGAAUAAAAUCCACAAGCAUUAGAUAUGAAUAACAGAAUAACAGUCUUUCCCCCACAUGUGAGGUCUGACAAUUUCUAACAGCCAGAAAUGAAGUCAGGAAACUGGGGGGGGGGGGGGGAGAAAGACUCUUGGCACGAGGAAAACUAUCCUCAAAGCCCACAGACAGAAACCAACGCCUAUCUGCAGCACUUGCAUCUGAAAAAUACCUUCAGUGAGCUCUUGAGAGCAAGACUGCAUCCCAUAUAGGAAAUAAACUUUACCCAGGUAGAAUUAACUGGAAUGAGUCAAUUUUUACUAAAGUAGGGCUGUCUGAUGUAGUCCAGCCUGGCUUUGAACUUGUGACCCUCCUGUCUGCUUCUGGAGUAUUAGUUUCAGGUAUACACACCUAACCCCAGUUAAUAAUUCUCUACCCUGAAUACGUAGGAGCACAGCGGUUCCACCACUGAGAGAGUAAGAGGACCAGGAUCCUAGUCUUCUUUUCUGCCAAUAACCAGCAGGAUAAUUUUGAUUUUUAUCUGAGCCGCCUUCUGUAAAGAUUACAAAAAUCCUUCCAAGUUGUAAACGUCAAACAACAAACACGUGGUUGGAAGGGAAAGGUGAAGUGCACCGCGAACAAGGAUCUAUCACUCCACACUUACCGGGCCCACCUUUCCUGGGCUGAUCCAGGCGAAGCCUGGAACAUGAAGAACAGAGAGAGUAAAUGACUCAAUCUUCACCUUUGGGGACUUCCCACCCGGUGAGGAGGCCAGGCAACAACCAACCAAUAGGGCAUGUUCCUCUCUCGGGAAGUUACAUUAGAACCUCAGGACGAAAAGUGUUAGGAGUCAGAAUAUUUCAGGCAAGGGAACUUUAAAGUUCCUAAAACAGGGAAGACUUGGGGUGAUGGUGGGGGAACUGGGGAAAAUAAAAGGCAAAAGCAGAAAUCAUUACUAAAGAGAAGAAUACAAGUCUUGAUGGAGUAGGAAGGAUGGUAGUCUCUGAGCAAUCUUAAGUCUCCACCAGUUCUGAAGGGCCUUAAGUAGGUUGGCAACACACACCAUGUGGACUAGAGCACUAGGAAGUGGGAAAUCAGAAAGUUAUCAUGGGAAUGGAAACAAGUAUGGCGGCCUAACUGAGCCCUCCAUGACAUCCCAAGUGGCAGACGGGAGGAGAGACCUAGGGAUCUGAUGGUAGUGGCGUUAGUAAGGCUUAUUAGUCCCUUCAUUUGCAUGUCUGAGGAGAAGAUGAGUCAAGGGCUCAGAAUUCAUGUAGUCCAAGUUACUAACUCUGAGACAACAAAGGGAAUUAAGAGUAAUUUGAAAGAAAAAGCUCACUUGAGACAGGGUGGGAGUGGACAUCUUAUGGAGGAACUGACAUCCUAGCAUGUUGAUAGCAUGUUUGCCUUUGCUCACAAUGAUUGUGUGUGUGUGUGUGUGUGUGUGUGUGUGUAUUCCCCUCUAAGAAUCAACCUUUUCACCAUUGUAUACACGUCGCCUAGCAAAAUUCCUGGGCUCACACUUUGUAUGCCAAUAAACAUUUAAACGUGUUCCUGAAAAUAAACUUCCUGGUUGGUCAUGGUGACUCACGUUUAUUAUCUCAGGAUGCUGAGGAAGGACGACAGUGAGUCCGAGGCCAGCCUGGGCUACAUACACAGUGAGACUGCCUCAGAAACAAACAGAAAGGGGAGGUGGUAUAAAGACUCAGUAGCUGAAGCGUUUGUGACCAAAUCUGCUCACCAGAGUUUGAUCCCCAGGACCUGGGUAGAAAGGAUAGAAGCAAAUUGUUCUCCUGUCUUCAGGCAUGCUCUGGAUGUCUCCUCCCCAAAUACAUGCAGCAAAAAGAAAAGACAAACUAAAAUUCUUCCUCCUCAGAGCUUUAUGCUCAUGCCCCUAUUCAAAACAAAUUCUACCAACUCCAGUCUUGCUCCAAAUUUGAAGUGUAGAAUCAAAACGAGGCUGGAGAGAUGGCUCAGUGGUUAGGAGCUUGUAUUGCUCUUCUUACAGAGGACUCCCGUUCGGCUCCUUUUGGGUUGUUCCUAAUGCCCGUCAACUCUACCUCCAGUCUCCUCCUGUCUCAAGGCACACCUGCGCUCACGGGCACAUACACGGACACACAUACACAUAACUAAAACAAAAAGAUCUUUUAAGUACAACUUUAGAUUUAAUUUACUCUGAAAUUCAGUCACCUGUCAUCCCCACCAUCCCUGGCUACUUUUAGAGUGAAGGCAGGGUGACAGUCGAUUUAUGACACUGGAUUAAAUACUUUGCAAUUUGCCUUGAAAUAUGCAGACAAGAGUGGUACUUACUAGCUUUUCAGAUCAUCCUAGAAAAAUCAGUGUUAAGCCUGAGAGGGAUUUCCAUGCUGUAUUCCUGACCAAGACCCUUCCCAAGCUUUCUAGCCCUCAAUAAUCCAACCUAAAGAUUAAAGAGACUGAGAAAAUGUUCUGUCAACAACCCCCUCAAAAAAUGUGUCUUAACUGAUACAACUACCAUUUUUGUGGUACUAACAAAUGUCUUGCUAUUUCUGAUUUUUAUGGUAGUUGACUUAAGAUAUCUUAAUUUGGUUUUAAGGAAAUCUGCAGGAAAAUCUGUUAAGUAGCAUUCUUGCUAAUUAUAAAAUACCCAUCUUGCUGAGAUGUGGUGUCGCAGGCCUUUAAACCCAGCACUCAGAAGGCAGAGGCAGGGGGAUCUCGAUGAGUGAGGCCAGCGUGGUCUAUCUAUACAGCAAGGUCCAGAGCAGCUGAGAUUACAUGAGACUCUAUCUCAAAAGACAAUGAACAAACCAACAAAAGCAAGCAUCUCCCUCCAGCUGUCCUAGCAGAAAGGAGGCAUCAGCUGGCUGGGAAGAGCGAGCGAACGCUCACACCGCCCUUGUUCUUCCAAGGAAACACGUCCUUCUUCCUCCGUUAGCGAAGCACAGAGAAGCUUGACAUCUCUAUAGACGAGAAAGAAUCUUAAACCCAUAUUUCUCCAUUUAGCCUGGCGUGCGGCACUACACCAGAAAAAGUGCUUAGCUUUCAACUGUCUCUUUAUGCAGGGAGAUGAGAAAAUACACUCUAUGGAAUUGCUUAUGCACGGAAUACUCGAUACUCGAGAGAGUAAUAAUAGCAACUAUGCUUCCUCUCAUGUGUGUUAGCUCUUUACUAGUAACAUUUUCUGACUGAAUCAUUUUAUUUAAAUACUGCAAAGUUUUUGUUUUUGUUUUUUUUUUUUUUUUGCUUAAAGUCAGGUCAAGUGAUAUAAUACCAAAAAAAAAUUUUUUUUUUUUGCUUUUUUUUUUCCCCUGCCUGCACAAUCUAUUUCUAGUCAAUGCAGUCUGUCAUCAAUCCAGAAAGAACUAAAUAGGGAAAUAAUAGUUUAUAGAAGUUCGCUUCCAAUUUCAGUCACUCCCAUUACUAACAUCUGAAAUGCUUGGCAGACUCACACUGACAGUGAGGUUGGGCAGCUGUGAUAAAAUCAUGACUAAACAGUUGCCAAAUCCACCUUCACUUACCUAGCCUCAUCAUUACCUCCCCCAACAAUGCCUCAAAAAAGAAACCCAGAUGAGUCAAAUACAAAUUUCAAAUAUAGGAGCUGAAAGUCAAAGCAGCCAGGCUUAGGAGCACCAGCUGUGGACACUGGCCGUCUUAUGCGUCCCCAGAGAGUAAAUAGCAUUUAUGCCAUCAGCUGGUUGGUUAUGCAAGAGUUGACCGGUAUGGGCAGGUAUGGGUAGGGCAUUUUGGAAAGCCUUGGAGCAAUAGUCACUCAGCAUUGAACUGCAAUGGCUUAUAAACAACCACUGACCACCCCUCCUGCCUAGAAACUCAUUUUACAGUUUCUUACCUAAGUUCUAGAAAAUUAAUCUUACACUUGGCAAAUUACACAUAAGCCAACUCUUCCUCUCAAGUUCACAUUCAUCUAUAAAGUCUAGUCCAGCCCAGUCCCAUCUUUGGGAUGUUAUCUGAUAGACAAGGUUGGGUGGCUUUUGUAAAAUGAAUUUGAAAAGUGCUGUUAAUUACAUUUUGAACAAAUUCCUUUAAUCAAGAUUUAUAUUUGGUGGGUAUAUGCCUUUAUCCUAGUACUCAGAAGGUAGAGGCAGGUAGAUCUCUUGAGUUUGAGGCCAACUUGGUCUACAGAGUUCCAAGACAGAGAAAUCCUGUCUCAAAAAAACAACAAAACAAAACAAACCCUUGAGUUUGUUUGAAGUAGGAUCUUUGUACGAACCCAGGCUGGCUCUGAAAUUCUGCUGUGGCUUCCCAAGUACUAGCACCACAGCUAGGUAACACCAUGAAGUCAUGGUCUUAUGGAGCCUCUGUGCCUGCUUUCUUCUUUGGUUCUAGGUAUUAAACUCAGGGCUUUAAACAGGAGUCCUACCAUUAAAUCUAUCCCUAGCCCUUACACUAUGGUAAUUUCCCUAGCAGGUAGAGGAGAAAGUACUUAGGAUGGGACAUUCUGUGGGAUGAAAAUUUGAUGGGACACACUGGCAAUUGAUGGUUUGGCUACAUGUUGUUUUGAAUGUUUAUUUUAUAUAUAUGGAUAUUUUAUCUGCAAACCAUGUGUGCCUGCUAGGAGAGUGUUAAAAGCUCCUGGGAUUGGAACUGUAGAUGGCUGUGAGCCAUAAUGUGGGUGCUGGGAAUUGAACCUGGCUCCUCUGCAAAAACAAUAAGUGCUUGCUUGCCCUUAAGCUCUGAGCCAUCUCUCCAUCCCACAUGUUGGGUUUUGUAAACCAGCUUGGUACCUGACUUUACAAUACUGACUCUAUGAAGAAAACAAAACAAAACAAAGCAAAGCAAAACAAAAAUAACAAAACAAAACCCUGGUUCACUGGCCAGGAAACCCUACUGUGAGAUAGAUCCAGGUCAGUAAUUUGGGUGGCCCCUGAGCAGUGACACAGCUGACCCCUGGUCUCUUCAUGUACACAUGCCCAAGAGAAUGAGCAUCUGGACCCCUCAGAACACAUACACCCACCCAAGCCAAAACAAAACCUCAAAACGACUUGAGCAACAACAUUCCUCCGUAUGCAUCCAUGACCUACAGUUACCUGUAGGGUACAAGUGCUAGAAAUGCAUUGUCUGUAUCUAAAACUGUAGGGAUCACAGACUAGAAAUUCUGGUUAGCUCUGUAGCCGAAAUCUGCCAUUUUGUAGGCACAAAGUAUCUGAAACUGAAGAGCUUUAACAAGAACAAUUUUCCUUACCUGCAAAGAGUAGAAUGCCUGCUUUCUAUAGCUUUGAGAAUUAGAAGGGGCCUAAUACAAUGCUGGGCUGGGCCACAGUAAACAGGAUCUCAAAAAACCCGGUAGUUAUCACUUCACCCUUUUUCUCUUCAUGAGAUUUAUACCACUGGUCGCCCAGGUUAGUCUCGCACUUGUGAUCCUCCAGCUCAACCCUCUAAGUAGUUGAAUUACAGAUAAAUACCACCACACCCAGCUUCUGCUAUCAGUUACAACACUGCCCAAGAUCUACCCUGGUACCCACAACACUUGGUUUAUGGAAUAUGGUGACAGCUAAUUAAAAAGAAAACAAAAUUUAGACAGGCAGUGGUGGCCCACAUCUUUAAUCUCAAUACUUGGAUCUCAAGAGUUCUAGAAACAUUGUUUUGAAAAAUGAGAAAGAGAGAGAGGCCAAUUUCAGAUUAUGUACAUGAUACUAUGCUUAGUGCAUGCCAACAAAAGGGAAAUAUUUAAAAAUGGAAGUUUAAGGGGAAAUAGCAUUUUGCUCUACCCUUCAACUUAAAAGUUGCUCUUACAUUAUCAUUCCAUUUACACUAAGGUGGCCCAUGCUUUAAAUUAUUAUCCCUACUGAUUUUGUGAUGGGUUAAUGAGUAAAUGGAAGUGAUAUAAUAGUGUUAAGCAGGGGAUGUAAUUUAAAAGUUGAAAGUAAGAAUUCAUCUACUGUGGCUAGAACAGACCAGUAAUAGAUAACUUUCUCCAAAGGGGGGAAAA
Mus musculus (house mouse) is the source of this 11549-nucleotide long non-coding RNA. RefSeq annotates it as predicted gene, 41442. The transcript is spliced from 3 exons. NCBI's taxonomy places the organism in Eukaryota, Metazoa, Chordata, Mammalia, Rodentia, Muridae. The record is from RefSeq and is a predicted model, not a curated record.